Molecule: long non-coding RNA, 754 nt
Organism: Vigna angularis (adzuki bean)
Lineage: Eukaryota; Viridiplantae; Streptophyta; Magnoliopsida; Fabales; Fabaceae
Exons: 2
Source: RefSeq, a predicted model, not a curated record
UUAUCAAGUGCAGAAUUUCGAAGUUCGAAUCUUUCUUUUCUUGCUUUGUUCUUUUGGUUCAAUACCUGUGGUUGUGCCUGUCUUUUGGUUCUGCUCAAAAUUUCCCCACCAUUGAUAUGACCGUUUAUUUAUUUUUCUUAAACAAAGAAAAAGGAGAAUACUUUUUUUGGAUUCUUUUUGGUCCUAGAGAAUUUUGUUGCCACCCCAUUAAAUAAAUUCUCUCUUCACCUUUCAAAGUUCACACCUUUAUCCCUAUAAAAUCACAGUCACCAUAAAUUCAACACACAAACUCUCCCUUCUUUCUCUUCCAUUUUUCAGUUUUCUUCUCUAACACAAACCAAAUAUGAGAAAGAUCACAGCCCUACUGUUCAUGACUCUCUUACUCAGCUCCAUCAUCGCCCAUGCUGCGGCACGCCCUGAGUCAACUUUUCUCAGGCGAGGCUCGCUGAAUCCGGAAUUUCUGGGAGAAGAGAAUUGUCACGGCAUUGACGAGGAUGAAUGUUUGAAGAGGAGGGAACUUGCGGCAAACCUAGAUUAUAUUUAUACCCAAGACGAUAAUAAUUAAAGUUAAUUGUUUUGUAUUAUAUGUUAUCAUUUUAAUGUUUUACAUAUAUCAUAUUAUUUUGCUAUAUGCUACUAUUUGGACUUGCAAACUACUAGUUUUGUAAGUGUGAUGUUUAUGAAUGAAUAAUUUAUUAGGGGGAUUUUUGCAGAGCAGUCUACUCUCAAAUUCAAGUGUUUAUUAGUUCUUCUA